UUUUUUAAGAUUUAUUUAUUCAUGAGAAACACAGAGGCAGAGACAUAGGCAGAAGGAGAAGCAGGUUCCCCACAAGGAGCCUGAUUCAGAACUCGAUUCCAGGACCCGGGAUCAUGACCCAAGCCAAAGGCAGACACUCAACCACUGAGCCACCCAGGCAUCCCUCAACACUUCUACUUUAAUGGGAGUAGUAAACUUUAUAUAGUUCUUCACAUUAAAAUUUUUCUAUGGAAAAAUUAAUGACAUUAAUGUGAUGAUAAAGAAUAGGAAGAAAAUAACAUCAAAAAGAUAUGUAAUCUCCAAAAAGUCUAUUUUGUGGGAAAAAAAUACUAAGAAUUGAAUAAAUCGGGGGAACCUCUGUGUAGCUCUGUCAGUUAAGUGCCCAGCUCUUAAUUUCAGCACAGGUCAUGACCUUAGGAUGCUGGGAUCCCAAGUCAGGAUCCACACUCAGUGAGGAGUGUGCUUGUGGUUUCUUUCUCUCCCUCUGCCCUUCCCCCUACCCCUUGCAUGUGCUCACUCUAAAAUAAGUAAAUAGGGAUGCUUGGUGGCUCAAUGGUUGAGCAUCUGUCUUUGGCUCAGGGCAUGAUCCCGGGGUCUUGGGAUUAAGUCCCACAUCAAGUCCCAGGGAGUCUGCUUCUCCCUCUGCCUAUGUCUCUGCCUCUCUCCCUGUGUCUCUCUUGUAAAUAAAUAAAUACAAUCUCAAAAAAAUAAAUCUUCAAAAAAUUGAAUAAAUGGGAUACACAUCACCUUAGAGACAUUAACAAAAAUCUCUCCUACACCUGCCAGAACCAUGAGUACAUGCUCUGAGAGACACACAGAGCAGAGGAGGUCCAAUAGUCUUACAGUUUAUAAUGCAUAAUCUGGGCACCUUAUCAAGAAUAUAAUACAAAAAGUUCUAUGUGGGUGAUAGUACUGGGCCAGCUGGAGAAAGUAAAUGCAAACCUCUCUGGACAAACACAUCCUCAAUUCCUGAUGUGAAGUUUCCACAAAUAAAACCCUAGCCAACAUUACAAAACACAAAAAGAAGCAAUCUGUCAUGACCGUUGGAUGGAGUCAGCAGCCAAACAGACAGAAACAGAUCUCAAGAACUUCAGAAAAAAACGAUCACACAGAAACCUUAAAAUAAGUACUUGAAAUUGUUUUGAAAUGUAAAAGAAGGAAUAAAAAAUGAUUUAAAUGAACUUCCAAGAAAUACCAGGCAGAUGUGAAGAGAAAGAAAAUAGAACUGAAAGAAUUAUUCAAAGGGAAGAGAAAUGUAGAGUUGGAAAGCAUAAAAGAUAUUAAGAGACAGAGAGGGCAAAAUGAAAAUUUCUGCAACUUUCCUAAUGGAACAAAUACAGAAUAUAUAACAGGAACAGUAUUUAAAGUGAUGAUAUCAAGAGAAUAUUCCAGAAUUGAAGAAUCAAAUUCAGGAAUCACAAUGAAUCCCAAGCAGAAUAAAUGAACAUACGUACACCUGGAUGACGAUUACUCAAUAAAGAUAAAAGAAAACUUUUAGAAAGUGUAAAACAGAAUUUAUUAUUGGCACAGCCCCACUGGAAAUUGGAGAAAUGAGUGAGAGACGCCUCGAUGGCUCAGCGGUUGAGCAUCUGCCUUUGGCUCAGGGCGGAAUCCCCGGGUCCGGGAUCAAGUCCCACAUCGAGUUCCUGGUGGGGAGCCUGCUUCUCCCUCUGCCUGUGUCUCUGCCUUUCUCUCUGUGUGUGUCUCUCAUGAAUAAAUAAAUCAAAUCUUAAAAAAAGGGUGGGGGGCAGCCCUGGUUGCUCAGCGGUUUAGCGCCGCCUUCAGCCCAGGGCCUGAUCCUGGAGACCCAGUUCGAGUCCAACGUCGGGCUCCCUGCAUGGAGCCUACUUCUCCCUCUGCCUGUGCCUCUGCCUCUCUCUCUCCCUCUCUGUGUCUCUCAUGAAUAAAUAAAUCAAAUCUUUUAAAAAAAAAAAGGAAUGAUUGAAUGAAGUGCAAGAAGAAAUGGUAAGCAAAGAAAUUAAUAUGUGGGCAAUUCUAAAGUGUUAACCAGAUACAAGGAUAAUACAAUGAUUAUUUGGGGGGGGUUACAAUAAAAAGGUAUAACUAAAAUAUUAUACAAUAACUGGCAAAAUGGGAGGAAUCAAAGUUUUAUUAAACCUUUGCCUCAGAUGAAGGUAAAGAUGAUUAAUCUUAGAACUAUCCAAUUCUUGCAUGCAUGAAUUACCUUAAAACUUUGAAUGUAAACACCAAAAAAAAAGCCUAGAAAUAAGCCUGCUAUUUCCUAAUCAGUAGAAGUAAGAAACUGAAUAAAAACUCAAUCAACCCAAUUAAGGGGUAGAAAAAAGAAAGAUUAGGAGAAUUUCUCUUUCCAUCCAAGCUAAAGUACCAGGCACUGAUUUUACCUUCCAGACUGAAAGACUUAUACAAGGACUUGAAAAAACAUUGUUUCAUUUGUUUACUUGUCUAUCAAGCAGUGAAAAUCAGUGGUCUCUGAGAAGUGGGAACACAAGUGAUAUGAAUCUUACUCUUGCCCCAGCUUAUUGCCUUGAGAGACUUUCCAGGCCAUCACACAGGGAGGUUGGAGCUCCAGUAGCACCCAGCAGACCCCCUGAUUUGAGGAGGUGGAGAUGAGAGUCUGAGCAGACUGAGGGAGCUAAAGUUCACAAGACCAAGUCCCACAGAAGUGAGAGUGGUUUUGAGGGAGAACUCUGGAGAUGAAAAAAGGGUGCCCCUGGAUUUUCAGCAAAAUACUAAUCAAUGCAUGUGUGUGAGGAAACUCGGCAAGGCUAGGAAAAGGAUCAUCCAAAAAUGAUUAGAGGAAAUGGUACCAGGUGCUCAUAAAGAACUAGAAAUAGUUUCUGUAUCCAGCAGCCAGACUGGAAAUGGCAAAAUUAAUGAUGUGUUUCACAGACUUUUUUUGGAAGGAUCUUUCAUCAUUAGUGGGGAAUCAUUAGCUCUAGACUAAGCACUGCUCUGUUCCCACUAACGGAUUUUAAAAGCAAGACUUAGCUAAAACAACACUGAAAAAGAAAGCUAAAGGGCUGACACUGCCUGAUUUCAAGACUUACAAAGUUAUAGUACUCAAGACAAUGUGGUAUUGUCAUCAAAAUAGACAAAUCAAUGGAACAGAAUAGAGACCAGAAGUAGUGCACAUUUUUUACAAAGGUGCACAGGCAGUUCAUUGGAGAGAAGAUCAUCUUUCCAACAAAUGAUGCUGGGACAAUUUUAUAUCCAUAUCCAAGAAAUGAAAUCCAAUCCAUGCCGUGCAUCCAUCAAGAUGGAUCAUAAACCCAAAUGUAAAAUCUAAAACCAUAAAAUUUCUUUCAGAAAAGUGAGAAAAUCUUUGUAACCUUGUGUUAGGCAAUAAUUUCUUACAUAUGAUCCCAAAAUCAUGGUCCAUAAAAGAAGUUGAAAAUUUAAAUUUCAUAGAAAUUAUAAACUUAUGUUCUUGGAAAUACAUUGUUAAGAUAAUCACAGUCUAAAAGAAAUUAUUUGUAAGUCUUAUAUCUACUAAAAGAACCCAUGUCUCAGGCUCCCAUAGGGAGUCUACUUCUCCCUCUGCCUAUGUCUCUGCCUCUCUCUGUAUCUCUCAUGAAUAAAUAAAAUCUUUCAAAAAAUAAAAGAACCCAUGUCCAUAAAUAUAGAGCUCUGAAUAUGUCAAGAAAACAAUCAAAUUUAGAAAAUGGGCAAAAGAUUUGAAUAGGCACCUCUCCAAAGAAAAUAUAUGAAUAGUAAGCAAAUACAGGAAAAGAUACUUAAUAUUACUAGACAUUAGUGAAAUUAAAAUAAAAUUCCAUAAGAUACUAUUGCCCCCUACUAAAAUGGUUAAAAUUUAAAAAGAUGGACCACACCAAGUAUUAGGAUAUGGAAGAACUAGAACUCUCCCAUGUUGCUGGCUGGAACUUGCCAGUCACUUAAAAAGUUAAACCUACAACCACCAUAUGAUCCAGCUCUACUCCUGGGUGUUUAAACAAGAGGAAUGAAUGCAUAUAUUUAUACAAAGACUUGUAAGCAAAUGCUCUUGGUUUUAUUUGUAAUAGCCAAAAACUGAGACAACCAAAAUGGCCAUCAAUGGGUAAAAAGAUUAACAAAUUGUGGUAUAUCUGCACAAAAGAAUACUGCUCAGCAGUUAAAAACAAUGAACUAUCGAAACACACAACAUAAAGGAAUAUCAAAAUAAUUACACUGAAUGAAAGAAAUGGGACAAAAAAGAUUGUAUGUAGUAUGAUUCCAGUUACAUAAAAUUCUAAAAAAAUGCAAACUUAACUAUUGUGACAGAAAGCAGGUCAGUAGUAGCAUGGGGAGAGGAAGGAGGGGCAUGAAAGAGGGAUUACAAAAGGGAAUGAGAAAUCUUUUGAAGGUGAUGGAUUAUGUUUAUUAUCUUCAUUGUGGUGAUAGUUUCAUGGAUGUAUACAUAUGUCUAAAUUUGUCAAACUGUGUAUUUAUGUGCAGUUUCUUGUAUGCCAAUUAUACCUAAAGAAAGCAAAAUUUUAAAAGCAAGAAAUAGAAAACACAAAGUAAAAGAGUACAAAGGUGUGCUUUUUUGGCUUUCCAGAUAUGUGCCAGCAUGCUCUCCCUUGUGCUCACAUGCUCUCCCUUGUGCUCACAUGCUCUCCCUUGUGCAUGCACGCUCUCCGCUCUCUUUUAACAGAUAGAAAAUAGAUAGGCAGGUAGGUAGGUAGGUAGGCAUAUCCAUCCUUUUAUACCUUGCUCUGUGUCCUGAGAGAUUGAUUUCUCUGGGCAAAAUCCAGAGACUUCCUUGUUCUCUGGGUUCUGUCGGGGUCUAGCCAAUGGGGAGGAAUAGCAGAAAAAAAAGGAAAGUAGAAGAAUAAGAUCAUGUACUGAUCUCCCUAGCUUCCUCACUGCACGGUCCAUAUCAGGCUGGCUGAAUUCCUCAACCAGAGGUUUCAGUUCUUGUAAGGUCAGUCUACACAUAGCCCUCUCGGUCUCUAGGUCCCCAUAACCAGUUCUUCCUCUCAUUCCUUCGGUCUUUACAGCAGAAAUGGAGCCUGUCAUUACGAGAGCUGGAGGACUUUUCUUUUUGGUUUCCCUAUACCCUGACUACAACUUUGUCUGUGGUCUUUUAUUAAACUUCCCUUAACCUACUAUGGUGCCAUGUGCUUCCUGCUAGGGUUUUAACUUCUAAAAUCUAGCUAAACAUAUUCAGAAAUCAUAUGAAACUCUCCAGGUAAAAGACUAAUCUAUGGAUUUUGUUAAAAAACAAUUGAAAACUCUAUGCUCUUCACGAGUGGUAUGUUUAAAACACAAAGGCCAAGAAAUGUUAUGAAUACAAAGAUGAAAAAAUCAUACCAUGCAAAUACUAGCCAAAGUAAAGUAAGUGUGAAUAUAUCUAUAAUAUAUAAAGCAUAAUCAGGAAUAAAGAAGAUGACCAAAUAAUGAUAAAAAGAAAAAUUCACCAGGAAGGUAGCACUGUUCAAAACAUGUACUCAUUUAAUAACAUCAAAUUAUAUAAAGAAUAAAUGGAUC
This 5448-nucleotide long non-coding RNA is filed under the name Canis lupus familiaris (dog). Its description in RNAcentral is "lncRNA (ENSCAFG00845025278.1)". Lineage: Eukaryota; Metazoa; Chordata; Mammalia; Carnivora; Canidae. The record is from RNAcentral.